AUGGCGGCGAGCCUGUGGCGAGAGGCGAUGGGCGCCGGCGCCCCGGCCGCGGACGCGGACUUCCUGGACUACAUCGAGUUCUGGCACCAGCCCGAGUGCGCGGGGUGGCUGGACAAGCAGGGGGAGCACACCAAGACGUGGCGCCGGCGGUGGUUCGUGCUCAAGCAGGGGAUGCUCUUCUGGUUCAAGGACUCGGACGUCGACCACGCGUCCGUGCCCCGCGGCGUCAUCUUCCUCGCCUCCUGCCUCGCCGUCAAGGGCGCCGAGGGCGUGCUCGACCGCAAGUUCGCCUUCGAGCUCUCCACCCCGGGCGAGACCAUGUACUUCGCCGCCGACUCCGAGGAGCACAAGGAGGAGUGGAUCAACUCCAUUGUCCUCCCACUUGCCGCUCCUGCAGGGACCACAUGGGAUGAAAUUUAUGACAAGGUGGACAUGCUGCGCGCAGGGUUUGGAGCAGAAGGUUUAGAUCCUUAG
Molecule: ribosomal RNA, 474 nt
Filed under: Triticum aestivum (bread wheat)
Lineage: Eukaryota; Viridiplantae; Streptophyta; Magnoliopsida; Poales; Poaceae
Description: partial small subunit ribosomal RNA
Source: RNAcentral